Molecule: long non-coding RNA, 1887 nt
Filed under: Canis lupus familiaris (dog)
Lineage: Eukaryota; Metazoa; Chordata; Mammalia; Carnivora; Canidae
Description: lncRNA (ENSCAFG00845011921.1)
Source: RNAcentral
UUUUUAGUUUUUUAUUAAGGCUUUUAUUGAUCACUGAUGAGAAUUCAGAAAUUUCAUGUUUUGUCCUACAAUGGCAAAGAAAACUGAUGGAAGAAAACACUUCAAAAGUAUUAGAAAAGUUAUAAAAUAAACGUAAAAAGACACUAGGCUUUAAUGAUGAUGGUAAAAUGUAUCAUACAAGUGGAAUAUCAGAUGAUGAGUCUUUAUUUUUUAAAGAUUUUAUUUGUUGUUGUUGGUUUUUUUAAAAGUAAUCACUACACCUCAAAUGACGAGUCUUUAGAUAAUGGUAUCCUAAAUUUUCUCAAACUCCAGAAUUGUUAAUUCAACAAUAUAUAUUUAUUAAGCAGAUUUAUGGUAUUCUUAUCAAUUCAACAGGAAUGAUUUCAUUAUUCAAUAUUUUGGAACAAGAACCUGAGCCAUCCAAAAAAGAUUUGAUAUAUUUUGUCAUCUUUUUUGAUGUUUUGUAUCAUAUACACUUGAUAUGUUUGCGAGUCAACAAAUGCUAAAGGGAAUGUAUAUGCAAAUAUAACUGGAAGGAAAUCAUGAUGUAGAGAGGAAAAAUUCAUUGAAUUGCUAAUUCUUUUUUCUUCCAGUUUUACUGAGAUACAAUUGACAUACAUUGUAUACAUUUAAGAAGUCCAAUGUGUUUGAUUUGCUAGUUCUAAUUGUUGUUUAUAAAUCUAAACAUGAAAAUGCUUUACAGCUAAGAAGUAAAGAAGAUGGCUAUCUUCGUUUUUUUAAUUAAAUUAAUUUACUCAUGAGACACACAGAGAGAAGCGUCUGCCUCUCACACUGGCAGAGGGAGAAGCAGGCUUCCUGCGGGAAGCCCAAUGUGGGACUCCAUCCCAGGACCCCAUCCCAGGACCCCAGGGUCACACCCCGAGCCAGCCAAAGGAAGGCAGAGGCUCAACGGCUGAGCCAGGCAAGCAUCCCAAAGAUGGCUAUCUUCUUUUCAACAAGACUGAAGGCCACCCACAUUUUCAAAAGUACUUUUGUUGAUUCAAGUGCAAGAAGUAGCAAAAAUAAGAAUAAGCUAGCAUGUUAGAGACGUAUUUUUAAUUUAGAGUCAAUAUUUAUGAGAUGACUUUGUUCCUGGUACAUAUACAUUGACUGAUUAAUAGCAAUAUAUUUUUUAAAGAUUUUAUUUAUUUAUUCAUGAGAGACAGAGAGAGAGAAGCACAGACACAGGCAGAGGGAGAAGCAGGUUCCAUGCAGGGAGCCCAACAUGGGACUCGAUCCCGGAUCUCCAGGAUCAGGCCCUGGGUCGAAGGCGGCGCUAAACCGCUGAGCCACCCGGGCUGCCCAUAGUAAUAUUUAACAGAUACGGCCUGGGGUACCUGGCUGGCUCAGUCAGUACAGCGUGCGUCUGACUCUUGAUCUCAGAGUUGAGCCCCAUAUCGCGCACAGGAAUUACUUUAAAAAAAUAAAGGAUAUGGCCCGCUCAGGGUAAUAUUUCUCUAAUUGCAGAAAAAUAUAGGAUAAAAAUUUGAUUUUGCUAAGUUUAAAUUAUUAUUAAAGUUUAUUUAUUUAUAUAUUUAUUUUUAAAAGAUUCUACUUAUUUAUUCAUGAGAGACAAACAGAGGCAGAGACAUAGGCAGAGGGAGAAGCAGGCUCUGUGCAGGGAGCCUGGUGUGGGACUUGAUCCCCAGACCCAGGAUCACGCCCUGAGCCGAAAGCAGACACCCAAACCGCUGAGCCACCCAGGCGUCCCUAAAAUUCAUUUUAAAAUUGUUUCACUAUCCUUUAUUCUUGCUCCUUAUAAAUGAUUUGCAAAUGGCUGAAAAAUAUGAAAAAAUAAAGUCUGUUGGUGAUGACUGGUGUACUGAGGGUUAAACAAGCAGGGGUUUAUUUGUUUUGCAUAACAAGCAAUAGAGAACACAAAACAGG